Molecule: long non-coding RNA, 1025 nt
Filed under: Ananas comosus (pineapple)
Lineage: Eukaryota; Viridiplantae; Streptophyta; Magnoliopsida; Poales; Bromeliaceae
Description: long non-coding RNA (ACOM_LNC014366)
Source: RNAcentral
CUUUCUUUUACAAUCAAAAUUUUAAAUCUCUUGAUUUCAUCGUAAUAAAAAUGGCACUGUUAAAAGAGAUUUUAGAUUUUAACGAUAUUAUCAUGUCAUCGCCUAUUUAGAUUUUUUUUGUUUUGCGUGUCAAUUUUGGUCUUUAAACUUUAUUUUUCACUUUAGUCUCCAAAAUAAAAAUUAAAAAAUUUUGAAUUUAAAUCUAAAAUUUAUCUUAAAAUUAAUCCGAAAAUUUAUGAGUAGAAAGGAAUCUAUACUCAAAAAAAAAUGGUAGCUGAAUUAUAUAUUGUAAUAAUGCCUUCCUGCCACAUCGCGCGGGUCCUUAACUAGUAUAUAUAUAGAGAGAGAGAGAGAGAGAGUCCGACUGAAAUACUACUGAUAGCACCAAGUGCUUGGUGCUAUCGAGUUUUCCGCCGUUUGAUUUAAUCCUUUGACUAUUUUUACUCGUUAGAUUUAUUAUCCAACCAAUAACUCACUCAACCUUAGAGGACCCACAUCAUCUUAACCGUAUAUUUUUUUAUUUAAGGACCGAAAAUCUAAUAGCACUAAUAGCUUGAUACUAUUGAUAGUAUUCCAGCAUAUAUAUAUAUAUAUAUAUAUAUAUGUAGAGUCCGGCUACUAUACUAUCAGUAGCACGAGGCCUCCCGUGUUACAAAGUUGUUUUCGAUGAUGCGGCUUCCAAAUUGACGAUCGGCUCUGUUAGACUUGAUCUACACUAUUAAAAUUAUAUGAAAACUAAAUUUCAUAAUUUUUCGAUAUCAUUUACCUAUCAAACAAAUAGUUUAAAAUUGAACGGCUGAAAAUAAAAAUCUCAUAAAAAAUGAUGAUAAAAGAUUUAAAUUCAAAAUCAGAUAUACUGAUCUUACUCUAAAUAAUGAAAAGAAUUUUCUAUAAAAUUUUCAUCGGAUUUGGAUUGUUUUACACCGUUAAACUCACAAACACGCCACAUCGGCCAUUAAAAUGGUCAACUUUGAGAUCUUUUGAUCACUAGUCAAAUAAUGUCGAAAAAUUAUGAAAUUUAGUUU